RNAcentral lists this ribosomal RNA (550 nucleotides) under Vachellia tortilis subsp. raddiana. Its description in RNAcentral is "SSU rRNA". It matches the Rfam family "Eukaryotic small subunit ribosomal RNA", at positions 548 to 1098 of the family's 1831-position model. The record is from RNAcentral. Lineage: Eukaryota; Viridiplantae; Streptophyta; Magnoliopsida; Fabales; Fabaceae.
UUGGAGGGCAAGUCUGGUGCCAGCAGCCGCGGUAAUUCCAGCUCCAAUAGCGUAUAUUAAAGUUGUUGCAGUUAAAAAGUUCGUAGUUGAAUUUCGGGAUCAAUAUAACGGUCAUGCCGUUGGUAUGCACUGUUAUAAUUGAUUUCUCACCUUCUAAAGAACCGUAAUGCCAUUAAUUUGGUGUCACGGGGAAUUAGGACUGUUACCUUGAAAAAAUUAGAGUGUUUAAAGCAGGCUCACGCUUGAAUACAUUAGCAUGGAAUAAUGGAAUAGGACAUCCGAUUCUAUUUUGUUGGUUUCUAGGAUCGAUGUAAUGAUUAAUAGGGAUAGUUGGGGGCAUUAGUAUUCAAUUGUCAGAGGUGAAAUUCUUGGAUUUAUUGAAGACUAACUACUGCGAAAGCAUUUGCCAAGGAUGUUUUCAUUAAUCAAGAACGAAAGUUAGGGGAUCGAANACNAUCAGAUACCGUCGUAGUCUUAACCAUAAACUAUGCCGACUAGGGAUCGGAUGAUGUUAAUUUUUUAAUGACUCAUUCGGCGCCUUACGGGAAAC